RNAcentral lists this ribosomal RNA (424 nucleotides) under uncultured Treponema clone RFS80p. Its description in RNAcentral is "bacterial SSU rRNA". It matches the Rfam family "Bacterial small subunit ribosomal RNA", at positions 77 to 490 of the family's 1533-position model. The record is from RNAcentral. Lineage: Bacteria; Pseudomonadati; Spirochaetota; Spirochaetia; Treponematales; Treponemataceae.
GGGUUGCCGGGAGUAAAGCGGCGGACUGGUGAGUAAACGCGUGGGUGACUUACUUUAGGUUGGGGAUAGCCGCUAGAAAUAGCGGGUAAUACCGAAUAAGCUGCACUGGCUAUGGCUAGUGCAGGAAAGCGGCUUCGGCCGCGCCUUAAGAUGGGCCCGCGUCCCAUUAUGCUAGUUGGUAAGGUAAAGGCUUACCAAGGGUCUGAUGGGUAGCCGGCCUGAGAGGGUGAACGGCCACAUUGGGACUGAGAUACGGCCCAAACUCCUACGGGAGGCAGCAGCUAAGAAUAUUCCGCAAUGGACGAAAGUCUGACGGAGCGACGCCGCGUGGAUGAUGAAGGCCGAAAGGUUGUAAAAUCCUUUUGCCGCUGAAGAAUAAGUGUGGUAGGUAAUGACCACAUGAUGACGUUAGGCGGUGAAUAAG